Long non-coding RNA from Melanotaenia boesemani (Boeseman's rainbowfish), 303 nucleotides. RefSeq lists it as uncharacterized. NCBI's taxonomy places the organism in Eukaryota, Metazoa, Chordata, Actinopteri, Atheriniformes, Melanotaeniidae. The record is from RefSeq and is a predicted model, not a curated record. The transcript has 3 exons.
UUCUAAUUAUAUUAUCCCGCAUUUGGACAGUGUUAGAUAUUAUUUUAAUUUGACUUUGAAUGUAUAACUUGUGUAUGACCUUAACAAGAACAUUGUGUAAUCUUGGAUUAACAUGCGUUGCUUUCUGUUUCUAAGUGAAGAAAAGGAAAAGCUGACAUUUAAAGACUCAAACUGGUAUUAGGGGAUAUGUCUGGCCUGCGACAUGUGGAUGUUUUUGGCCGUACUUCUGUUUUUGCAGAAACAGGAAACCGGCACCUCAGAUGGAGCCAAAGCAGACAGAUAAGGCUGAUAUUACUUUUAAAA